CCUCGGGAGGCAGCAGUGGGGAAUUUUCCGCAAUGGGCGCAAGCCUGACGGAGCAACGCCGCGGUGAGGGAUGAAGGCCUCUGGGCUGUAAACCUCUUUUAUCAAGGAAGAAGAUCUGACGGUACUUGAUGAAUAAGCCACGGCUAAUUCCGUGCCAGCAGCCGCGGUAAUACGGGAGUGGCAAGCGUUAUCCGGAAUUAUUGGGCGUAAAGCGUCCGCAGGCGGCCCUUCAAGUCUGCUGUUAAAAAGUGGAGCUUAACUCCAUCAUGGCAGUGGAAACUGUUGGGCUUGAGUGUGGUAGGGGCAGAGGGAAUUCCCGGUGUAGCGGUGAAAUGCGUAGAUAUCGGGAAGAACACCAGUGGCGAAGGCGCUCUGCUGGGCCAUCACUGACGCUCAUGGACGAAAGCCAGGGGAGCGAGAGGGAUUAGAUACCCCUGUAGUCCUGGCCGUAAACGAUGAACACUAGGUGUCGGGGGAAUCGACCCCCUCGGUGUCGUAGCCAACGCGUUAAGUGUUCCGCCUGGGGAGUACGCACGCAAGUGUGAAACUCAAAGGAAUUGACGG
Molecule: ribosomal RNA, 564 nt
Filed under: uncultured bacterium
Lineage: Bacteria
Description: bacterial SSU rRNA
Rfam family: Bacterial small subunit ribosomal RNA
Source: RNAcentral